CCAAUAGCGUAUAUUAAAGUUGUUGCAGUUAAAAAGCUCGUAGUUGAAUUUCGGGGUCAGUAGGUCGGUCGUGCCACUGGUAUGAACUGGUUUCACUGAUUCCUCCCUCUUGUAGAACCGUGAUGCCAUUAAUUUGGUGUUGCGGGGAAACAGGACUGUUACUUUGAAAAAAUUAGAGUGUUUAAAGCAAGCUAACGCUUGAAUACAUUAGCAUGGAAUAAUGAAAUAGGACGUCGAUCUUAUUUUGUUGGUUUCUAGGGUUGACGUAAUGAUUAAUAGGGAUAGUUGGGGGCAUUAGUAUUCAAUUGUCAGAGGUGAAAUUCUUGGAUUUAUUGAAGACUAACUACUGCGAAAGCAUUUGCCAAGGAUGUUUUCAUUAAUCAAGAACGAAAGUUAGGGGAUCGAAGACGAUCAGAUACCGUCGUAGUCUUAACCAUAAACUAUGCCGACUAGGGAUCGGAUGAUGUUAAUUUUUUAAUGACUCAUUCGGCGCCUUACG
RNAcentral lists this ribosomal RNA (499 nucleotides) under uncultured Glomus. RNAcentral describes it as "SSU rRNA". It matches the Rfam family "Eukaryotic small subunit ribosomal RNA", at positions 591 to 1092 of the family's 1831-position model. The record is from RNAcentral. Lineage: Eukaryota; Fungi; Glomeromycota; Glomeromycetes; Glomerales; Glomeraceae. RNAcentral also lists the same sequence under 1 other name.